Molecule: unclassified non-coding RNA, 338 nt
Filed under: soil metagenome
Description: partial contains 5.8S ribosomal RNA, internal transcribed spacer 2, and large subunit ribosomal RNA
Rfam family: 5.8S ribosomal RNA (bases 1-120)
Source: RNAcentral
GAUGAAGAACGUAGCGAAAUGCGAUAAGUAAUGCGAAUUGCAGAAUUCGGUGAGUCAUCGAAUCUUUGAACGCACAUUGCGCCCUUUGGCAUUCCGAAGGGCAUGCCUGUUCGAGCGUCAUUUAUCAACCCUCAAGCCCGGCUUGCGGUUGGGUCCCGCCGUGGGCGACCACGGCGGACCCGAAAGGUAAUGGCGGUGCCCGUGGGGCCCUGGACGCAGCGAGCUUCUCGGCACGCGUCCCGGCGGUCCCCGGCGCCGUCUCCACCAAUCCACCACGCAGAUUGACCUCGGAUCAGGUAGGGAUACCCGCUGAACUUAAGCAUAUCAAAAGCGGAGGA